UUUUCUUAAACACGAAGGCGCGGUAUAAAAGGCCGCUUCCCAGGGAAGCAUCGGCUCAUUUGUCAAUCAACCGUCGGGAAGUAAGGAUCAAAUUCAAGAUGGCGGCAAAAGUCAAGUACAAAAUGCAGAGGGGACAGGUUUCAAAGCGCUUCCUGAUGUAUAAAAACGCCAAUUCUACCUUCUAGUCCGAUUGAAUGUGUAAAUAACGAAACUCAGUAGAAAUAAAGCUACGAAACCAUCGUGAUUUACAAAAAAAAAAUUGAGCAAACGCAUUACAAGAAAACAACGAUUGCAAACCUCGAAAAAGGUGAGUUUUAUGCCUAAAAUGUACUUUUCAUAUCUUUAAAUUUCAGAAAACAGGAUUUAAAUUAGUCAUCAAAAGUUAAUAGGUACUUAAAGUAGCGGGGAAACUCUGUUUUGCUAGAAAUGCAUCUUGACUUUGUCCACAUAACUGCCGAUAGAAGUAAUGCAGGCCUUCUAUAGAAAAGAUGUUGUUUGUAGAUCAAAUCUUGCUUUACUGUUGUUUCUUUUUAUUUUUACAUCGCCUCGAGCUCGGACAAGAUUCUUUUGUGCUAUACCCAAGAAGCAAUCAUAGUGACAUCUGAAUAAUCAACAAGAUAUAUUCCUCAAGAAAAAGCAGAUACAUAGACAUAUACAGUAUUACAUUUUCCCUGUGAUUUUAAAUCAUAGACAUUCCUUUAUAAAGGAAACACGUUCCAUUGCUAUCAAAUUGAUUUAUGUGUUACUGAAGUGUUUAGCUACCAGUCAUAUUUUAUAAACUGCAUAAUAGAUUAUACUUUUGAAUGAACCAAAAUGCCUUGUCUUUUAUCCAUUCAGUUCAAGACUUCUCAUUCUUACAGUAAAAGCAAGUUUAGAUACAGGGGGGAUAUCCAUUGAAUGAAAACAGUAAAAGUUAUGUCUUUAUUUUGUAUAAUUAACUUAUAAAGUAUAAAACAUAUAAUAAAACUAAGGAUCCAGACCCUUUUUCAACAAAAUGAAACACAUAGCUAAUUCAAUUGUUAUCAUUUGUAGUCAUCAUAGAUUGCAAGAUAAAAACAAAAUACUAUACAGGUGCAUUCUGAUCUAAAAAGUAGAAAUAUAGACUCAAUUAUGGCUCUUAUGGCUAUUAUAGAUGGAUAUCAGGCAUUUCUUUUGUAGCCCUUCAGUUGUUUGGUGUACACAUAUGUGUAAGUAUAUAAGCUUAGACAUUGCACAAAGGGUUUUCUGCUGUUUCUGUGAGCCAGUUAUGCACUAUAAAAAAAAUAUUGAAACAAAUGUUUUUUUUAUUGUAUACCAAUCCCUUGUUUUGUACAGACAAAUAGUAAGUGUUACAUUUUAUUGGGAUGUAACUAAGCCCUACUUAGGUAAAUGUCAAAACGCUUUAUGGAUUUUUGGUUAAUUCUUAAACAUAUGUACAACAGCAGAUAGGUACACUUGCAUUUUUGUUUUACACCUGUUGCAGCAACAAGUAGAAAUAAUGGUUUCACUAGAAUGAGUUUUACUGCAGUGUCCUCUUACACUACAGCUGUAGUGAAGUGACAAUAAAUCAAUAAUAAAAAAUAAAUAAAAUAAUAAAAUAUA
This is a long non-coding RNA of Nematostella vectensis (starlet sea anemone), 1581 nucleotides long. RefSeq lists it as uncharacterized. The record is from RefSeq and is a predicted model, not a curated record. NCBI's taxonomy places the organism in Eukaryota, Metazoa, Cnidaria, Anthozoa, Actiniaria, Edwardsiidae. The transcript is spliced from 2 exons.